This 497-nucleotide ribosomal RNA is filed under the name uncultured bacterium. RNAcentral describes it as "partial 16S ribosomal RNA". It matches the Rfam family "Bacterial small subunit ribosomal RNA", at positions 28 to 507 of the family's 1533-position model. The record is from RNAcentral.
GAUGAACGCUGGCGGCGUGCCUAAUACAUGCAAGUCGAGCGAACAGAUGAGGAGCUUGCUCCUCUGACGUUAGCGGCGGACGGGUGAGUAACACGUGGAUAACCUACCUAUUAGACUGGGAUAACUUCGGGAAACCGGAGCUAAUACCGGAUAACAUUUUGAACCGCAUGGUUCAAUUGUGAAAGACGGUUUUGCUGUCACUUAUAGAUGGAUCCCGGCCGCCUUAGCAAGUUGGUAAGGUAACGGGUUACCAAGGCAACGAAGCGUGGCCAACCUGAGAGGGGGUACGGCCACACUGGAACGAGGACACGGUCCAAACUCCUACGGGGGGCAACGUAAGGGAAUCUGCCGCAAUGGGGGAAAGCCUAACGGGGCAACGCCGGUGUGUGGAUGAAGGUCUUCGGAUCGUAAAACUCUGUUAUUAGGGAAGAACAAAGGGGUAAGGAAAUAUUCACAGCUUGACGGUACCUAAUCAGAAAGCCACGGCUAACUACGUG